AACGAACGCUGGCGGCAUGCCUAACACAUGCAAGUCGAACGAGACCUUCGGGUCUAGUGGCGCACGGGUGCGUAACGCGUGGGAACCUGCCCUUAGGUUCGGAAUAACUCCCCGAAAGGGGUGCUAAUACCGGAUAAUGUCUUCGGACCAAAGAUUUAUCGCCUUUGGAUGGGCCCGCGUUGGAUUAGCUAGUUGGUAGGGUAAAAGCCUACCAAGGCGACGAUCCAUAGCUGGUCUGAGAGGAUGAUCAGCCACACUGGGACUGAGACACGGCCCAGACUCCUACGGGGGGGAGCAGGGGGGAAUUUUGGACAAUGGGCGAAAGCCUGUUCCAGCAAUGCCGGGGGGGUGAUGAAGGCCUUAGGGUUGUAAAGCUCUUUUCCCCGGGAUGAUAAUGACAGUCCCGGGAGAAUAAGCCCCGGCCAACCCCGU
Molecule: ribosomal RNA, 432 nt
Filed under: uncultured bacterium
Lineage: Bacteria
Description: partial 16S ribosomal RNA
Rfam family: Bacterial small subunit ribosomal RNA
Source: RNAcentral